GACGAACGCUGGCGGCGUGCUUAACACAUGCAAGUCGAACGGAAAGGCCAUGCUUUUGUGGGGUGCUCGAGUGGCGAACGGGUGAGUAAAACGUGAGUAACAUGUCCUUGUCUUAGGGAUAACUUCAGGAAACUGGGGAUAAUACAGGAUAGGAGAUACUGCUGCACGGUGGGGGUUGGUAAGAUUCGGCGGUUGGGGAUGGAAUCGAGGCUUAUCAGCUUGUUGGUGGGGUAGUGGCUUACCAAGGCUUUGACGGGUAGCCGGCCUGGGAGGGUGACCGGCCACAUUGGGACUGAGAGACGGCCCAGACUCCUACGGGAGGCAGCAGUGGAGAAUAUUGCACAAUGGGCGGGAGCCUGUUGCAGCGGCGCCGCGUGCGGGAUGACGGCCUUCGAGUUGUAAACCGCUUUCUCCUUUAACGAAGCGUGAUUGACGGUAAUGGAUAAGGAAGCACCGGCUAACUACGUG
This 468-nucleotide ribosomal RNA is filed under the name uncultured bacterium. RNAcentral describes it as "partial 16S ribosomal RNA". It matches the Rfam family "Bacterial small subunit ribosomal RNA", at positions 28 to 507 of the family's 1533-position model. The record is from RNAcentral.